Molecule: ribosomal RNA, 253 nt
Filed under: uncultured bacterium
Lineage: Bacteria
Description: partial 16S ribosomal RNA
Rfam family: Bacterial small subunit ribosomal RNA
Source: RNAcentral
UACGGAGGGGGCUAGCGUUGUUCGGAAUUACUGGGCGUAAAGCGCACGUAGGCGGACUGUUAAGUCGGGGGUGAAAUCCUGGGGCUCAACCUCAAAAUUGCCUCCGAUACUGGCAGUCUCGAGUGCGGGAGAGGUGAGUGGAAUUCCCAGUGUAGAGGUGAAAUUCGUAGAUAUUGGGAAGAACACCAGUGGCGAAGGCGGCUCACUGGCCCGUAACUGACGCUGAGGUGCGAAAGCGUGGGGAGCAAACAGG